This 540-nucleotide transfer RNA is filed under the name uncultured Prochlorococcus sp. Its description in RNAcentral is "partial 16S-23S ribosomal RNA intergenic spacer". The stretch from base 212 to 284 matches the Rfam family "tRNA". Lineage: Bacteria; Bacillati; Cyanobacteriota; Cyanophyceae; Synechococcales; Prochlorococcaceae. The record is from RNAcentral.
CAGGGAGACAACAAAAUGUUUAAUAUUAUUAUUUUGUCACCUUAGGUCGAUCGGUAUCUCACGUUCUUAAUUUGUUAAGAAUUUCAUUUCCUAAGUUUUUCUAGGUCACACCCAUUAUUUUUCCUGGGCCAUUAGCUCAGGUGGUUAGAGCGCACCCCUGAUAAGGGUGAGGUCCCUGGUUCAAGUCCAGGAUGGCCCAUAUCUCUAUGUUGGGGGUAUAGCUCAGUUGGUAGAGCGCCUGCUUUGCAAGCAGGAUGUCAGCGGUUCGAGUCCGCUUACCUCCACUGAUUACCACCUCUUCCAUAACCGGUAGAAAGGAAAUGUUUUGAGUUGUGAUCAUUAUUCUGAACGAAUCUAGCUUCCUAAUGAAAUCAUUAAGAUGCUGGAUUCAUUGAAUUAAUUUCAUUGUUUUCAGAGAACCUUGACAACUGCAUAGAUUUUUUUAAAGACAAUAAGCAUCUUUAAUGAUGCAGAUUUAUUAUUUGUGCGAAUGCAUUAAUAACAAUUCUAUUAAGCUGAUGCUUCAAUUUUGAAGUUAUU